This 327-nucleotide ribosomal RNA is filed under the name uncultured Sandonidae. RNAcentral describes it as "SSU rRNA". The stretch from base 115 to 327 matches the Rfam family "Eukaryotic small subunit ribosomal RNA", at positions 742 to 955 of the family's 1831-position model. The record is from RNAcentral. Lineage: Eukaryota; Cercozoa; Glissomonadida; Viridiraptoridae.
GAUUUCUGACCUGCAACAUUUGGCCGGCCACGGUUUCGUGUGUUAGUGCUUGAUGUUCUGGCCAUCCUUCCAAUCGCUGCGUCGUCGUCACCUUCAUUGAUGCGGCGACGUAGUAUUGGAUCUUUUACUUUGAACAAAUUAGAGUGUUUCAAGCAGGCUUAUUGCUAUGAAUACAUUAGCAUGGAAUAAUAAUUUAGGACUUCGGUUCUAUUUUGUUGGUUUCUAGGACUGAAGUAAUGAUUGAUAGGGACAGUUGGGGGUGCUAGUAUUCAGCGGCCAGAGGUGAAAUUCUCGGAUUCGCUGAAGACUAACUUAUGCGAAAGCAUU